CCUCUCUCCUGCUGGCAGCUGAACUUGGUGGUGUCACAGUCACCCAGGUGAUGCUGGUUUUGAAGGCAUAGAUGGGCUGUGGAAAGCAGCUGAGGCUUGACACUGUGUGACAGGCCUGGAGUUCCCGAAGAAAGCCUAUUGGUGAAAGUGCAGCCUGGUCACAGGAAGGGACCCUAGCAUUUUGGAGAUGCCAGCACCACGGGACGGGACGACCACCAGGAAGAGCAGCAGAGUGGAGCCAGCCAGGGCCUAGAAGACGAGCUGUGUGUGCUGCAGAGAGCGGAGCUGGAGAAGUGAGCCAAGCCCUUUGGAGGAGCCCGGAAGAUGGUAUGGAGAUAUCCACUGGAGCAUGCUUGACCUACUGGGACCAUGUUCUUAAAGAAAACUGGCUCUCCCGUCCUCAGAAAGACCACCAACUAUCAAUGGCUCCUUACCUACAGGCCAGACCUGGGGAGAACCAGGACUCCUGCAGUUGGCUACACUCCUGCCCAAGCUCAUGGAGGGGCUGCUGAUAGCUGUCAGAGUGUGCUGUUUCCCGACCUCCAUGGCUCUGCUCAGUGGCUGUUAGCAUGACUCUCGGUGUACUACCCGCCUGGUUUGGUGCCAUUGCUGUGAGGAAAAGGCUACACUCCUCUAUUCUUCCCUUCCUCAGAGCUUCUUGUUUGUCCUGUGCGAUAGAAGAUCACAAUCCCCACCAUUUUAUUCAAACCAACUCUAUCGAGACAAAACUCACAUGUAAUGAAGACAUGAGCCCAUUUAAGGUGUAUACUCAGAUGAUUGACAAGCCAGGGAUGUUUGCGUCACUCUGGAAGAAACCACCCCCUUCCCAGGGACCCUCCAACAUUGCCAGGCAGUGAGGACUUCUGAUGCCCCAGGUUAGACCAGCCUGCUCUGGGAGCUGCAUCUUAGAAGGGACAGUGUGUGUGUGUGCUCUGCUGUCUGGUGCCUGACAUUUGACAUUCAGAUUUCCAGCUGUCUGCCAUCACAGGUGGCAAGCCCUUCUCCUCUUGUUGCUGAGUGGCAUGUCCCUGGCUUGGUGGCUUGUCUUGAACACACAGAAGGCACGUGGGGUUUCAUGGGUGAAGUUGCUGCAAGCUUCCUUAAGCAGGAUUUGGCUUAGACCAAUAAUUUCAUUUUCUUGGGAAAAAAAAGACCUGAGAGAAAACUAAUGGGUUAUAGAAGCUUGGAAGGAAGCUUCUGCUGGACAAUUUGAGAGGCCAUUUUCCAAAAUGUAUAUCCUUCUGAGGUAGGAGCUAGCUCAUGGUAAGGGAGAAGGGUCUAUGGUGAAAAGCUACAAAUUGCUCAGAAAUGGUACAGUGAAAACGGAUUCUGGUUAAAGGGAUAUUAGAGCUAAAAUAAUGGAGCUGGGUCAGGAUGAAAAACAAGAGCUUGUAGCUGGGUGUGAACAAGCUAAGCUCACCUGCUAGGAGGCUGAUGGGGCCUCUAAGAGGCAAGGCCAGCAUGGGCAGGCCAGUCAGCUGGCUUCCACAGGGUCUCCCUGGGAAGUAUACAGAGAUCACUGGAGUCUUUUUGAUGCAGGAGAAACUUGAAGGAAUAGAGUUGAAGGGAUUUGCUAAUAAGCUUGCUUAAGAAAUAAUUAGGUUAUACAAAGUAGAAUUUAGCAAAAGAAGGGUUGCCUCUGCUAUGACUAGAGAUAAGCAGUGUGCUUAUCAGGCUGACUAGAAACUGUGAGAAAGACAUUUCCUCCCAUAAUGGAAAACUAUGGUUACUGAGAAAACAUUUCUGCUAAUGUUUGUUCACCAAUAGUGACCUCCAGUUAGGCUCCAUUCCCUCAACCAAAGGAGACAACCCUGACUUGCAUCCAGCUGUCAGGCCCAUCCUCAUAGUGAAGGACACUCCUCUAAUGAGCAGCUCAAGGGAGCAGCUCAGGGUCAACUGUCAUCGCUUCUCAGGAAAAACAUCCUUCCACCAGGUGGGAAAGUUGACUCCGGGUGACAACUAUUCCAGAAUAACCACACUGGUGUACUUAAGAACUAAUUCUGGCAAUGGCUUCACUGUGUAACCCUCCCUUCUGCCUAAGUGGCCAGACUUGCAGUCUCCUGUCUGUUUAAAUUGCUCAAAGUUUGACCUGGGGCUGGACCUGAAAGAGAUUAAAGAAUGACAGCAUAUGUGAAAUAUAUAAGCCCAAGGCCUAUAUAAACUGGCAAAAUUUUCUGUUCGAGGCUGGAUCCUUUUGUACGUUAGCCAGAACCUGU
Mesocricetus auratus (golden hamster) is the source of this 2216-nucleotide long non-coding RNA. RefSeq lists it as uncharacterized. The record is from RefSeq and is a predicted model, not a curated record. The transcript is spliced from 3 exons. Lineage: Eukaryota; Metazoa; Chordata; Mammalia; Rodentia; Cricetidae.